ACGACUUUGAGUGGCAAUGGGGUAGACUGGUCAUAUGGUAAAUCGGGGAAUAUAAAUUUCAUGCUUUCUUUUGGCUUGCCACAGGGUGAGACGAAUUCUGCAAGUUUGGAACCAAUAGCUAGCUUGAUGUCAGGCAAGGCAGGACCAGUAAUAUCCCGGGCUGGGUUCUACCUUAUAUUCAUUUGGGUGCUGAUCCUUUCAGUGAGUUAUAAAAUUGGGACAUGCAUUUGUAGCAGGUAAGACCCUUGAUCCAUAGGAUGGUU
This 263-nucleotide long non-coding RNA is filed under the name Vitis vinifera (wine grape). RNAcentral's name for it is "long non-coding RNA (VVIN_LNC004101)". Lineage: Eukaryota; Viridiplantae; Streptophyta; Magnoliopsida; Vitales; Vitaceae. The record is from RNAcentral.